Molecule: unclassified non-coding RNA, 659 nt
Filed under: Hevea brasiliensis (rubber tree)
Lineage: Eukaryota; Viridiplantae; Streptophyta; Magnoliopsida; Malpighiales; Euphorbiaceae
Source: RNAcentral
GAAAAGCGAUGUCUACAGCUUUGGAAUUGUGAUUCUUGAAAUCAUGAGCGGAAGGAAGGUGCUUGAUACAUCAAAUUCUUCGUAUCUUUUGAUUACUGAUUGGGCAUGGACGCUAGCAAAAUCUGGAAAUAUAGAGCAAAUCUUUGAUGAAUCUAUUAGGGAGGAAGGACCAAAAGGGGUAAUGGAGAGAUUUGUUCUUGUUGGGAUUCUUUGUGCACAUGUAAUGGUGGCAUUUAGACCCACCAUUGCUGAUGCUCUUAGAAUGCUAGAGGGUGAUAUUGACAUCCCAAAAUUGCCUGACAGGCCAAUGCCACUCGGCCAUGAAGCGUUUAGAUCCUCUACCUCUUUCUGGUGUAGUAGCAGUUCAACAGCAAGUCAAAGAUCAAGAACGACCAGCGGUUCCGGCAUAAGCUUAGUGUAGUAGCAGUUCAACAGCAAGUCAAAGAUCAAGAACGACCAGCGGUUCCGGCAUAAGCUUAGUGUAGAUUAUAGAUAAAGAUGAUAUUAAUUAGAUGAUAAGACUUCUUGGAUUUGUUCAAUCAUUGUCUGGUCAGAAAAUUCAAAAUCCCUUCUGCCAGCCAACCUCUGAUUUGAAGUUUCAAUUUUCAAAGCAUACAUUCAAAGAUGGGCUAGUCUACGUCUUUCAAUUUUUUUUUUUU